This 232-nucleotide ribosomal RNA is filed under the name uncultured bacterium. Its description in RNAcentral is "partial 16S ribosomal RNA". It matches the Rfam family "Bacterial small subunit ribosomal RNA", at positions 104 to 334 of the family's 1533-position model. The record is from RNAcentral.
CGGGGUGAGUAACGCGUGGAUAACCUGCCUCACACUGGGGGAUAACAGUUAGAAAUGACUGCUAAUACCGCAUAAGCGCACAGUACCGCAUGGUACAGCGUGAAAAACUCCGGUGGUGUGAGAUGGAUCCGCGUCUGAUUAGCCAGUUGGCGGGGUAACGGCCCACCAAAGCGACGAUCAGUAGCCGACCUGAGAGGGUGACCGGCCACAUUGGGACUGAGACACGGCCCAA